This 395-nucleotide ribosomal RNA is filed under the name uncultured bacterium. RNAcentral describes it as "partial 16S ribosomal RNA". It matches the Rfam family "Bacterial small subunit ribosomal RNA", at positions 523 to 918 of the family's 1533-position model. The record is from RNAcentral.
AUACGUAGGGUGCAAGCGUUAAUCGGAAUUACUGGGCGUAAAGGGUGCUCAGGCGGUUUUAUUAGAACGAGGCGAAAUCCCCCGGCUCCACCUGGGCCCGGUCUUUGCUGCUGCAAGGCUAGAGGACGGCAGAGGGGGACGGAAUUCCGCGGGGUGCAGUGUAAUGCGUAGAUAUGCGGAGGAACACCGAUGGAGAAGGCAAUCCCCUGGGCCUGUACUGACGCUCAUGCACGAAAGCGUGGGGAGCAAACAGGAUUAGAUACCCUGGUAGUCCACGCCCUAAACGAUGUCAACUGGUUGUUGGGUCUUCAUUGACUCAGUAACGAAGCUAACGCGUGAAGUUGACCGCCUGGGGAGUACGGCCGCAAGGUUGAAACUCAAAUGAAUUGACGGGG